This 492-nucleotide ribosomal RNA is filed under the name uncultured bacterium. Its description in RNAcentral is "partial 16S ribosomal RNA". It matches the Rfam family "Bacterial small subunit ribosomal RNA", at positions 29 to 507 of the family's 1533-position model. The record is from RNAcentral.
AGUGAACGCUGGCGGUAGGCCUAACACAUGCAAGUCGAACGGCAGCACAGUAAGAGCUUGCUCUUACGGGUGGCGAGUGGCGGAAGGGUGAGGUAUACAUCGGAAUCUACUUUUUCGUGGGGGAUAACGUAGGGAAACUUCCGCUAAUACCGCAUACGACCUACGGGUGAAAGCAGAGGAUCUUCGGACCUUGCGCGAAUGCAUGAGCCGAUGUCGGAUUAGCUAGUUGGCGGGGUAACGGCCCACCAAGGCGACGAUCCGUAGCUGGUCUGAGAGGAUGAUCAGCCACACUGGAACUGAGACACGGUCCAGACUCCUACGGGAGGCAGCAGUGGGGAAUAGUGGACAAUGGGCGCAAGCCUGAUCCAGCCAUACCGCGUGGGUGAAGAAGGCCUUCGGGUUGUAAAGCCCUUUUGUUGGGAAAGAAAAGCAGCAGGUUAAGACCCCGCUGUUCUGACGGUACCCAAAGAAUAAGCACCGGCUAACUUCGUG